GGGUCAGUAGGUUGGUCGUGCCACCGGUACGUACUGGUAACACUGAUUCCUCCUUCCUGAAGAACCGUAAUGCCAUUAAUUUGGUGUUGCGGGGAAACAGGACUGUUACUUUGAAAAAAUUAGAGUGUUUAAAGCAAGCUAACGCUUGAAUACAUUAGCAUGGAAUAAUGAAAUAGGACGAUCGAUCCUAUUUUGUUGGUUUCUAGGAUUGACGUA
This 216-nucleotide ribosomal RNA is filed under the name Glomeromycotina sp. RNAcentral describes it as "partial small subunit ribosomal RNA". The stretch from base 38 to 216 matches the Rfam family "Eukaryotic small subunit ribosomal RNA", at positions 684 to 864 of the family's 1831-position model. The record is from RNAcentral. Lineage: Eukaryota; Fungi; Glomeromycota.